CGAGCACGCGCGUGUGGCAUAUCAAUAAGCGGAGGAAAAGAAACUAACAAGGAUUCCCUUAGUAACGGCGAGUGAAGCGGGAAGAGCUCAAAUUUGAAAUCUUCAAGGUUCUACCUUGACGAAUUGUAGUUUAUAGAAGUGUUUUCUGUUAGUGGAGUGGCAAAAGUUCUUUGGAAUAGGACAUCAUAGAGGGUGAGAAUCCCGUAUUUGGUCAUUCCUCCUAGCGUUGUGAUACACUUUCAACGAGUCGGAUUGUUUGGGAAUGCAGUCCAAAAUGGGUGGUAAAUUUCAUCUAAAGCUAAAUAUUGGCGAGAGACCGAUAGCGAACAAGUACCGUGAGGGAAAGAUGAAAAGAACUUUGAAAAGAGAGUUAAACAGUACGUGAAAUUGUCAAAAGGGAAGCGUUUGACACCAGUGUUGUUUUUCCGAAAAUCAAUUACGAAUGUUUUAUUUUUGAGGAGUUAUGACUUCAUCGGCUUGCUCCUUUCUUUAUGAAACUUUCUUAAUGCACUUUUCGGUUAACAAGUCAACAUCAAUUUCUUUUGUUGUAAAAGGGUAUGAGGAAGGUGGCUUUCUUUUCGGAGAAAGUGUUUAUAGCCUUGUGCCUCUGCAAUCGGAGAGAUUGAGGUCUGCAGCGUAGAUCCUUCGGGGUUAGAUACGUUUGUGCUAAGUUAUAGCUUUUCAUAGACAACUUGUUGACUAUGUUUAGUCUUGUAGCUUACUCGCUGACGCUAUUUUACCUACGCUUAGGAUGUUGAUGUGAUACUGCGAGCA
This 774-nucleotide ribosomal RNA is filed under the name uncultured Neocallimastigales. RNAcentral describes it as "partial large subunit ribosomal RNA". It matches the Rfam family "Eukaryotic large subunit ribosomal RNA", at positions 19 to 646 of the family's 3401-position model. Lineage: Eukaryota; Fungi; Neocallimastigomycota; Neocallimastigomycetes; Neocallimastigales. The record is from RNAcentral.